GCCGGAGUGGCGGAAUUGGCAGACGCACAGCUUUCAAAAAGCUGCGAGGCAACUCGUGCGGGUUCAAGUCCCGCCUCCGGCACCA
Molecule: transfer RNA, 85 nt
Filed under: Planctomycetota bacterium
Lineage: Bacteria; Pseudomonadati; Planctomycetota
Description: Planctomycetes bacterium tRNA-Leu
Rfam family: tRNA
About the family: Transfer RNA (tRNA) molecules are approximately 80 nucleotides in length. Their secondary structure includes four short double-helical elements and three loops (D, anti-codon, and T loops).
Source: RNAcentral